This 253-nucleotide ribosomal RNA is filed under the name uncultured bacterium. RNAcentral describes it as "partial 16S ribosomal RNA". It matches the Rfam family "Bacterial small subunit ribosomal RNA", at positions 524 to 776 of the family's 1533-position model. The record is from RNAcentral.
UACGAAGGGGGCUAGCGUUGCUCGGAAUCACUGGGCGUAAAGCGCACGUAGGCGGAUUGCUAAGUCAGGGGUGAAAUCCUGGAGCUCAACUCCAGAACUGCCUUUGAUACUGAAGAUCUUGAGUUCGGGAGAGGUGAGUAGAACUGCGAGUGUAGAGGUGAAAUUCGUAGAUAUUCGCAAGAACACCAGUGGCGAAGGCGGCUCACUGGCCCGAUACUGACGCUGAGGCACGAAAGCGUGGGGAGCAAACAGG